GCUGGUCUCAGAUAAGCCAUGGCACGUCUAAGUACAAACUAAAUUGGAUGAGUGGAAACUGGCAAAUGAGCUCAUUACAACGGUUAUGAUGUACCCGGGAGUUCCGAUGGAUAUUUCCAGUAACACUAGAACUAAUACAUGUCCCAGCGUUUAUUAGUUUCGCACAGUCCGUCGCUGAGUCAUGGUAAACAGUUGAUCGACUCGACGUCCCGGAACAGUUUCCGCCCCAUCAGCUUCGAUGGUUGGGUAUUGGCCUACCAUUGCAACAACGGGUAACGAGGAAUUAGGGUUUGAUUUCGGAGAGGGAGCCUGAGAAACGGCUACCACAUCUACGGAUGGCAGCAGGCGCGCAAAUUACCCAAUGCAGACACUGUGAGGUAGUGACGAGAAAUAAUAAAGCGGGACUUCUGUUUCGCUAUUAUAAUGAGGAAUAACCAAAGGUCAUUCCGAUUAGCAACUGAUGGGAAAGUCUGGUGCCAGCAGCCGCGGUAAUACCAGCG
RNAcentral lists this ribosomal RNA (500 nucleotides) under uncultured Myrionecta. RNAcentral's name for it is "SSU rRNA". It matches the Rfam family "Eukaryotic small subunit ribosomal RNA", at positions 30 to 590 of the family's 1831-position model. The record is from RNAcentral. Lineage: Eukaryota; Ciliophora; Litostomatea; Cyclotrichida; Mesodiniidae.